This 560-nucleotide long non-coding RNA is filed under the name Bos taurus (domestic cattle). RNAcentral describes it as "long non-coding RNA NONBTAT018166". The record is from RNAcentral. Lineage: Eukaryota; Metazoa; Chordata; Mammalia; Artiodactyla; Bovidae.
AGACAAGUAAGAAAAUUGAACUUGGUUCUUUGAGAUAAUGAGGGUCAAAUGUAGCACAGUAAUGAAGUUCAGACUCAAUUCAAAGGAUAUUUACUAAACAAAUAUGUAUACAAGAACUCACUAAAAGAUGAAGAAAUACAUAUUUUAAAAUAUGGCUUGAAACUUUUAGGAUGAAAAUAAAGCUAUGAAAUGAAAUGUCCACAUAUUACUUUGUUGCUUCUGGGUUUCAAAAAAAAAUUUUUAAUAUGAAACUAAGUAUAGUGUUAAUUAUCACUGUGAGAAGUUCAACUCAGCCUUUUGCAAGAAAAGGAAAAGCUUUCUUUGUUGUUUAUCUGUUAAUAAUUUGUAAUUUUCCCCAUUAAGCUUCAGAAUACUGGUAGUGAAGUAGAGUCUAACAGAAAUACCAUUAACUGUAUUCAAAUAUUCAUUUAUAUUCAAAGUGUAACAUAAAUGACACUGUUUUGACAGUAUGUCUAAUUAUAAUUUUAAUUCAGUCCACUAUGUUUCUUCUUUAGAUUUUGGAACAAGGUAGGUCAUAUAAUAAUAAACUGAAAUGGCCC